UGGCACAAUGGUUAAGCACUUAGCUGCUAACUAAAAGGUCAGUGGUUCAAACCCACU
This 57-nucleotide transfer RNA is filed under the name Loxodonta africana (African savanna elephant). The record is from Rfam by way of RNAcentral. Lineage: Eukaryota; Metazoa; Chordata; Mammalia; Proboscidea; Elephantidae.